Molecule: ribosomal RNA, 253 nt
Filed under: uncultured bacterium
Lineage: Bacteria
Description: partial 16S ribosomal RNA
Rfam family: Bacterial small subunit ribosomal RNA
Source: RNAcentral
UACGUAGGGUGCAAGCGUUGUCCGGAAUUAUUGGGCGUAAAGAGCUCGUAGGCGGUCUGUUGCGUCUGCUGUGAAAACUCGGGGCUUAACCCCGAGCCUGCAGUGGAUACGGGCAGACUAGAGGUAGGUAGGGGAGAGUGGAAUUCCUGGUGUAGCGGUGAAAUGCGCAGAUAUCAGGAGGAACACCCGUGGCGAAAGCGGCUCUCUGGGACGGUACUGACGCUGAGACGCGAAAGCGUGGGGAGCAAACAGG